Molecule: ribosomal RNA, 328 nt
Filed under: uncultured eukaryote
Lineage: Eukaryota
Description: partial 18S ribosomal RNA
Rfam family: Eukaryotic small subunit ribosomal RNA
Source: RNAcentral
CCCUUAGAUGUUCUGGGCUGCACGCGCGCUACACUGAUGCGCUCAACGAGUUUUAACCUUGCCUGGAAAGGUUGGGUAAUCUUUUUAAAACGCAUCGUGAUGGGGAUAGAUUAUUGCAAUUAUUAAUCUUCAACGAGGAAUUCCUAGUAAGCGCGAGUCAUCAGCUUGCAUUGAUUACGUCCCUGCCCUUUGUACACACCGCCCGUCGCUCCUACCGAUUGAAUGAUCCGAUGAAUAUCAUGGAUUGAGGAUGCAAGUAGGUUCACCUAUCUUCAUCUUCGAGAAGUGAAGUAAAUCUUAUCAUUUAGAGGAAGGAGAAGUCGUAACA